AUAGAAGUGAUGUACAAGCCAUGUUUAUCUGUAAGAAAUAUCUUAUCAGUAUGGCCAACGUAUUUGAUAUAGACUAUAAGGUUGCCAACAUUAGUAAUUAGAUGAUGGGAAACAAUAAAGUUCACUAGUUAAGGGGAGUCAUGUGCAUCAACUAUGCAGUAUGACUUUGUUUACCACAUACUUAAAAGAAAAUUGUUAAAGUAACCUUGGUGUUGGGAAUGGUUUACAAAUAUUAGAAAUAAGGGAUCCAUUCUUGUGAGAGGAUAAUGA
Molecule: long non-coding RNA, 270 nt
Filed under: Carica papaya (papaya)
Lineage: Eukaryota; Viridiplantae; Streptophyta; Magnoliopsida; Brassicales; Caricaceae
Description: long non-coding RNA (CPAP_LNC007394)
Source: RNAcentral